GUGGGGAAUCUUCCACAAUGGACGAAAGUCUGAUGGAGCAACGCCGCGUGAGUGAAGAAGGGUUUCGGCUCGUAAAGCUCUGUUGUCGGGGACGAAUGUGCAGUAUUUGAAUAAAGUAGUGCAAUGACGGUACCUGACGAGGAAGCCACGGCUAACUACGUGCCAGCAGCCGCGGUAAUACGUAGGUGGCAAGCGUUGUCCGGAAUUAUUGGGCGUAAAGGAAGCGCAGGCGGGAAGGUAAGUCGGUCUUAAAAGUGCGGGGCUCAACCCCGUGAUGGGAUCGAAACUAUCUUUCUUGAGUGCAGGAGAGGAAAGUGGAAUUCCUAGUGUAGCGGUGAAAUGCGUAGAUAUUAGGAGGAACACCGGUGGCGAAGGCGGCUUACUGGACUGUAACAGACACUGAGGCUCGAAAGCGUGGGGAGCAAACAGGAUUAGAUACCCCUGUAGUCC
This 450-nucleotide ribosomal RNA is filed under the name uncultured bacterium. Its description in RNAcentral is "partial 16S ribosomal RNA". It matches the Rfam family "Bacterial small subunit ribosomal RNA", at positions 354 to 796 of the family's 1533-position model. The record is from RNAcentral.